This is a long non-coding RNA of Zonotrichia leucophrys gambelii, 237 nucleotides long. RefSeq lists it as uncharacterized. The record is from RefSeq and is a predicted model, not a curated record. The transcript has 3 exons. NCBI's taxonomy places the organism in Eukaryota, Metazoa, Chordata, Aves, Passeriformes, Passerellidae.
UGGUGUGGUGCUGUUCUGUACGGGCUGAAACUCUCUGCAGUUGGAUGGUGGCACUCUGUGGGUCGUGGCUGUCUCAGCUGUGGCAGACUCUUUAAUGAGUGGACUCCAGCCUGGGAAACAAUUCUCACUUGUGCCAGAAUAGUCAGAAACGCAUAGGAAGGUCCAAAGAGAAAUUCCUUGAAAAUGAGGGAAACUGCUGAAAAUCAGAUAACGGCCCUUUCAAAAGAAGUGACAAAG